Molecule: long non-coding RNA, 760 nt
Organism: Engraulis encrasicolus (European anchovy)
Lineage: Eukaryota; Metazoa; Chordata; Actinopteri; Clupeiformes; Engraulidae
Exons: 5
Source: RefSeq, a predicted model, not a curated record
UCUGAUUCUAAACACGUCAUUAAAAACUCAAACGAGGUUGAGAUGCUGCCUGGGCCCUGCCCUAGCGGUGACGCAACGCUUUUGAAAUUGCCUCAGCUUCAGCUAUGGUCGGCAAUCAGGCGAAGUAGAUCCAGAAAUUUUCUGUUUCUCUCCUGCUUGUACAAGAGGUCAUUUGUGGGAAGACAGUUGACAGUUGGAAGAAAAAAGAUGAUUCUAAGCACACUUAUGCCGUGAGUGCACACCCACCAUCUUUCCUUUCUCAUCUGCCUCGACAAGAGUAACUACAGAAUCGGCUGUGGAGGGAACAACGUUUACACUUCGGAGAUUAUUUGACGAUGGAAGGAUUUAUUGGCAAGGUGAAUGUGGCGUUGUAAGGGGCGCUCAUAGUCGUUCCAACAAGACACGAUUUGCUGACCCAUUAUAAGCGCAAACUCAGGACUUCGGUCGCCCUGCAAGGUGAAUGUGGCGUUGUAAGGGGCGCUCAUAGUCGUUCCAACAAGUCACGAUUUGCUGACCCAUUAUAAGCGCAAACUCGGGACUUUGGUCGCCCUGCAAGGUGAAUGUGGCGUUGUAAGGGGCGCUCAUAGUCGUUCCAACAAGGCAUUUUGCUGACAGCAAGGCGAUUUGCUGACCCAUUAGAAGCGCAAACUCGGGACUUUGGUCGCCCUGCAAGAUAAAUGCUGAAUUCAAGAGAAUAACUACAAUGCCCUUGCAGUCGAGAUUCCUGUCCCAGCUAGACAUAUUGUCUGACAAGCUGCUG